This is a long non-coding RNA of Prunus persica (peach), 447 nucleotides long. RefSeq lists it as uncharacterized. The record is from RefSeq and is a predicted model, not a curated record. The transcript is spliced from 3 exons. NCBI's taxonomy places the organism in Eukaryota, Viridiplantae, Streptophyta, Magnoliopsida, Rosales, Rosaceae.
AUCAUACAACCAAUCCUUGGCAAGGAGAAAGAAACUCCUGCCAUUCUUAAAUGGAGUCUUGUGGAACUCCACACAAGAUUCAACCAAAUAAAGGACUUGAAUGACAUCGAGGGUAUUUUCAAAACUCCUAAAAAGCGAAAAACUACCAGGGAAGAGGAAGACACUGUUGAGAAGGGUAUUUUGAAAACAUAUAAAAAGAGAAAAACUACCGGAGAAGAGGGAGACCCUCUUGACAAGGUAUAAGAAUCUCUAAACAGUGAAUUAUGCAUUUCGGUUUUCGUUUCCUCCAAUGCAAUGCAGUUUCUAAUUAGUUUCUGUUCAAUAUGCAGGAAAAAGAAAAAGAAGAUGAUGAGGGACAACAAGGAGAAGCAGAGGAAGCAGAAAACCAAGGAAAACCUGAUGAUGCUGAUCAAACUCCAGAAUUAAAAGAGGCUGGAAAGAAGAAAA